UUAAGCAUAUCAAUAAGCGGAGGAAAAGAAACCAACAGGGAUUACCUCAGUAACGGCGAGUGAAGCGGUAACAGCUCAAAUUUGAAAUCUGGGCCCCUCGGGCCCCGAGUUGUAAUUUGGAGAAGAUGCUUCGGGUGCGGCGCCGGUCUAAGUUCCUUGGAACAGGACGUCACAGAGGGUGAGAAUCCCGUACGUGAUCGGCCGCCUGUGCCCGUGUGAAGCUCUUUCGACGAGUCGAGUUGUUUGGGAAUGCAGCUCAAAAUGGGUGGUAUAUUUCAUCUAAAGCUAAAUAUUGGCCAGAGACCGAUAGCGCACAAGUAGAGUGAUCGAAAGAUGAAAAGCACUUUGGAAAGAGAGUUAAACAGUACGUGAAAUUGUUGAAAGGGAAGCGCUUGCGACCAGACUUGCGCAGGGCCGAUCAUCCGGGGUUCUCCCCGGUGCACUCGGCCCCGCGCAGGCCAGCAUCGGUUCCGGUGGCUGGACAAAGGCCUUGGGAAUGUAGCUUCUCUCGGGGAGUGUUAUAGCCCUCGGCGCAAUGCAGCCUACCGGGACCGAGGACCGCGCUUCGGCUAGGAUGCUGGCGUAAUGGUCGCAAGCGACCCGUCUUGAAACACGGACCAAGGAGUCUAACAUCUAUGCGAGUGUUUGGGUGCCAAACCCAUCCGCGUAAUUAACGUGAACGGAGGUGAGAGCCCUGAAGGGUGCAUCACCGACCGGUCCUGAUGUCUUCGGAUGGAUCUGAGUAAGAGCAUAGCUGUUGGGACCCGAAAGAUGGUGAACUAUGCCUGAAUAGGGUGAAGCCAGAGGAAACUCUGGUGGAGGCUCGCAGCGGUUCUGACGUGCAAAUCGAUCGUCAAUUUGGGUAUAGGGGCGAAAGACUAAUCGAACCAUCUAGUAGCUGGUUCCUGCGAG
RNAcentral lists this ribosomal RNA (912 nucleotides) under Dermea cerasi. Its description in RNAcentral is "partial large subunit ribosomal RNA". It matches the Rfam family "Eukaryotic large subunit ribosomal RNA", at positions 34 to 964 of the family's 3401-position model. The record is from RNAcentral. Lineage: Eukaryota; Fungi; Ascomycota; Leotiomycetes; Helotiales; Dermateaceae.